GGGCAUACUUGCUGCAUAUAUACUAAAUAUGGAAUGAUACAAAGAAGAUUUGCAUGGCCCUACACAAGGAUGACAUACAAAUUCACAAAGCGUUGCAUAUUUUU
Molecule: small nuclear RNA, 104 nt
Organism: Chionomys nivalis (European snow vole)
Lineage: Eukaryota; Metazoa; Chordata; Mammalia; Rodentia; Cricetidae
Source: RefSeq, a predicted model, not a curated record